Uranotaenia lowii is the source of this 2624-nucleotide long non-coding RNA. RefSeq lists it as uncharacterized. The transcript has 3 exons. Lineage: Eukaryota; Metazoa; Arthropoda; Insecta; Diptera; Culicidae. The record is from RefSeq and is a predicted model, not a curated record.
ACUUGUAUGAGGGGGUACUUUUUCGUUUCGAUACUUAAUUUUCCUCUCAUAAGAUGUGCCGCAAUAACUCUUACCUAUUUGUGAUGCACCUUUUAUUAUGUAAAAUUAAUUAUGUUUUUUUUCUUUUAGGUUUUUUUUACUUGUACGAGAUCGGUAAGCUCAAUAUUUGGAAAAUAUAUUUUUGGCGUGUCUAUGUUAUGCUAGAUAUAAUGAGCUUCCUUGAGUUCAUGGAUUUUUAUCGCACCUAAGUGGUUUGAAGCACCAAUAAAUAAGCUCUAGAAGGAUUGAACUGGCUUCAACAACUUCCGAGAAAACUAGCCUGCAACUUCAUCUGGGGAAUGGAAUAUGAAUUUGCCACAGCCACAAACAAUAAGCGUAUCAGUAUGCUAUUCUGAAUGGAAUCGUAGUGUCCAGCGUACUCGCAAGCUUCCAACUACCAUUACCGUCACUGACCACCGCACUAGUACUGCUAGUAUAAUAUCAAUUCCAGCAGCGGUUCUCCCCGCAGCAGCAACAUCAAAGUCAGUCAGAGGCGAAUCUACCAAGCAAGCCUUUCUAUUAAAUUAAUUAAAAAUCAAAGUCAGUCGAUCAUUGAUAGUCAAUCCAGCAACCUAACGACAAUAGCUGCAGAAUGGAGAACAGGACCCUGAAUGAAAUUAUGAGUAGCGUAGAUAAAUCUAAGAGUCGAUCCGAGGCAUGGUUCCGGAAUUUUCUGUUGCUGCAACAACAGCGGUUCGAAGAGGCAAAGGAACAUGCCAAUAAGAAGAUGACAAAGAAGAAAUGAAGGAGUUGCCCCGUGCAAGACCGUGUGGGAAAGUGGAGAUAUAUUUUCUGCUACCCAAUUCUAUUGUUUGUUGAAGGUUGCAUACUGUUUACCGGAAUUCCAUUUACCGGAAAACCAUUUACCGGACUGCUAUUAACCGGAAUGAACCGUUUACUGGACUGCUUUUUACCGGAAUGAACCAUUUACCGGACUGACAUUAACCGGAAUGUACUAUUUACCGGAAUGUCAUUUACCGGAUUAAGAGUUUUAAGUACAAAUCUAUUAUUGUAUCCCGCUUACCCGUAAACUUUUGCCCAAAAUGGUUUUUAGGUUUUUAGGCAGGGUUUGGGUACUUUAAUUGAUUUUAUGCUUACCAGUGUCGCUUUUAAAAAUCGUUUUGGUAGACGACUCCUCACGCUACGCGUUCGAACUUCAAGGACGUAUUGUCCUCCACGCUGUUGGACAGGGCUAAGGGAUCACCCCUAGCUUUCACGCAGACCUAGAACCAUGUAUUAGAGCCGCCGCUUCCGACGACGGGUCGGCGGUCACCUCGGAUUUGGAAGCCUCGGUGGCUUUGUGCCGCCUCAGCCCCUUCAUCCUCGUUGGUUGCGACCUUGCCGCAAAUAAUAAUAUUGUAAAAACUUUUUUUUUUUAGAAAGAAGUUCUUUAUUCGAAUUCUAGUUUUCCAUUUUUUGUGAAAUUAUAAAUUCCAGUGAUAAAAAUUCUGGGGAAUGGUUCAGUCUGACGUAAAUUUUCGGGGAAUUGAGGUACGACCCAAAUUUAUUUGUAUUAAAGAAAAUCCGGUAAAUGGUAGUUCCGUUAAAUGGUUUUCCGGUAAAUGGUAUAGUCCGGUAAAUGGUUUUCUGGUAAAUGGUAUAGUCCGGUAAAUGGAAUUCCGGUAAAUAGUACACUCCGGUAAAUGGUAUUCCGGUCAAUGGUACUUACGGUAAAUGGAAUUCCGGUAAACAGUAUACAACAGUAUAAGUUUUAUCAUUAAGACAACUAUGUCAGAUGAUUUAAAAGCAACAAUAAACAAUAAACCUUUGUUGAAUGAUUUGAAGAUCCUUUUGCUUUUGUAUCCGUAGGUGCAUGAUCAUUAAUGGCCGUUUCUUUUGCCAUUGGACAUCAGACUGUUCCCUACGUACAAAAAGCUACAAAUCACGGGUGGACUUCUAUAACGAACGUCCUGCUAAUCUUUGACAACUGAUUUCAACGAGGACUAUUCACCAGUGGGCACAGUCGGUCAUUGAAUGCGCCAGUAUUUUUAGUGAUGUUGGGCUGAACUGACCGUGAAGCCACCCACGCAACAACCACAACAACAGCAACCAUCGUCACAGCAGGAUCAACAACAUUCCGGACACUUAUCUUAACUAGGCAGUUAAAUUGAAACUAGUUUUUUUAAUAAUAGGUUUGUUUAUUAAGACAUUUUACUUAUAAAGUUUCAUUUUGUCGAGUGGAUCACUUAUUAAUCUAUGUUAGAAGAGGGAGGAGCCGUAAUAGUUGUGGCGACUCAUCUGUUAGCUUUGAUUCUAAUUUGGAAGGGAACAUUAAUAGGAAACAUAUACAGGGGGGAGUUACAAAAGUAGACGACAAAGUCAGACAUUUUAAGAAAUUUGAAGAAAUUUGAAACGAGGUAAAAUAGAAGGAAAACAAGGCCUAAAAAAAUUAAGUGGAUAUUACAGGUUUAUUGAAUUUAUCAAGUAAACAACUGUAGGCAAAUAUGAUGAAUUGUAGUAUUGAGACUGCAUAACCAAACUCAUACAAUGAAUAUUGAUUCGGCCUUAAAAAGUUUAUCAUUAUACAAUUAUAUUUAAUAUAAGCUAUUAUUCGAAGCCUAAAAUAGAAGAAAAAACGUGAAAAA